This is a long non-coding RNA of Pogona vitticeps (central bearded dragon), 1888 nucleotides long. The record is from Ensembl. NCBI's taxonomy places the organism in Eukaryota, Metazoa, Chordata, Lepidosauria, Squamata, Agamidae.
GCUCUCAGCCUUGGUCAUUGUACUUGGCAGAUGGGCAAUUAACUCUAUAGAUAGCAUUCUGACCUCUUCAAGGCUAGAUUGUAUACAAUCUCCUUUUACUUAACCCUGUCAAUUCAGGACAAUCAGUGGCCAUGUUGACUGGGGGUGGUGGGAUUUCUAGACCAGUACCUUUGGAGGGAACUAGUAUGGGGAAGGCUGAGCCAGGAUAGCUGGCCUAGGCUAAAUGUGAACAGGUAAUGUAAACCUUGCUUCAGCUGCUGAGGAGAAGCAUAAAGAAUCAGCACAGCUGACUUGGUAUAGGCUGACAGCUUCUGCUUAAAGCUUGAGGGGAGAGUCAUACAACCUUCUUAGCCAGCUAUUUCCUCCAAGCAGGAAAAGAUCCAAAAUCUGCCUGAAAUGAAAACCAAGCCCAAAAUAUGAUUGCUUAAAUUGUUUCCUUCUUAUGGGAUGCUGAGAAGCUGCAUUGGGAAAUACUCUAAUUUAAGGAGGAGUUUAUUAAAACUUGGCUAAAUUCAGUGUGAGAUGGAAAUCUGAUUAGCCAACUUUAGCUGGAAGACUGUAAGUCAUGUUGUGGUCGGCUGCAAACAGUGGCCAUGCUGGCUGAAGGAUCCUGGGAGAAAUAGCAUGAAGAAAAGUAACUACUCCACGCUCUAAGUUUGCAAAUCAGUCACAAAAGUUCUCUGCCUCAUUAAGUUGCAUCCCUCUCACCUUACAACCAGAGCAAAGUUCAUGGGCCAGCAAGGUGCAAGUCAAAGUAGCCGCCUCCUCUUCAUUCCCCUUUUCCAGCAUUCUUGCAGAAGGGCCAUUGACUUGGCCACAUGCAAUGAUCCAAGUACAGCACCUGACGCGGGAGUGAAGAACAUUGAAGCCAAAAGUGAAGAAUUGUAGCUGUCCAGACAAUUCAUGGACUUCAGCUCCCAUCUGCAGGAGCAGGCAUGGAAAGUGUUCCAGGUGACAGGAGUUGUAGAUUAGCAACAACUGCAGAAACACAGAUAUCCUAUCCCUCCUUUAUAAACAGUGAAGCUGUAUGGCAAGCAUGUAAAGAGGCAGUAAAACUAUGUCAACUAUCUGCCUCCUCAUUUUAACAAACUUGCUUAAUAAUGACAUCAAGGAACAGCAAUCAUUAUGGAUGAAUCUCCUCCAUAGAUGUAAACUAGCACAGGGCUGAUUUGACUGGAUUAACUCCUUUCCUUUUAGAAAUAUUUUUCUGUGUGUCGUAACAUGCAUAGAGCCAAAUACUUUUUUUAACCUUAUAUAUUUUUACUUUUAAAAGUUUGGAAAUGCUUACAAAUUGAUUGUUUGGUUUCAUUCUGGGAUUAGCCUUUUACUGGGGUAAUGUCAGCUAUGAUGAACCAUAGGUUUCUGUUCUUUGCCUGUAGGACUAAUAGAGAAAUCAGACAUCCUAACCAGGAUCUGACAGUUGAGUAAAAGAUCAAUGGCUUGCUAACUACCCUGUUUUCCCCAAAAUAAGACCUAACCUGAAAAUAAGCCCUAGUAUGAUUUUUCAGGAUGCUCGUAAUAUAAGCCCUACUCCCAAAAUAAGCACCAGUUAAGUGAAACCCUGCCCUCCACCAUUGUGCAGCAACCAGAAGAUGACAGGACUGUAUUUGAAUAAGUGUAGAUUGUUGUACAUGAAAAAAAAAAUCCCCCGAAAAUAAGCCCUAAUGCAAAAAUAUAUAAAAGACCCUGUCUUAUCUUCAGGGAAACAGGGUAUUAUAAUUCUUCAUUCUGGGUUAACAGUGCAAAGAUCAUUUUUAAAAAUGUUUGAUAAUAAUCUGUUUAUCUACACACAUUUAAGCCUUAUCAGAUAGUUCUUAUAGAACAACCUAGACCCAUUUCCCCCCAUAAUUAUUAAUAAUGAGUGUGACGUUUUCCAUGUAACCCCUGC